GACGAACGCUGGCGGCGUGCCUAAUACAUGCAAGUCGAGCGAAGUUUUUCUGGUGCUUGCACCGGAAAAACUUAGCGGCGAACGGGUGAGUAACACGUAAAGAACCUGCCUCAUAGACUGGGACAACUAUUGGAAACGAUAGCUAAUACCGGAUAACAGCAUUAACUGCAUGGUUGAUGUUUAAAAGUUGGUUUUGCUAACACUAUGAGAUGGCUUUGCGGUGCAUUAGCUAGUUGGUGGGGUAAAGGCCUACCAAGGCGACGAUGCAUAGCCGACCUGAGAGGGUGAUCGGCCACACUGGGACUGAGACACGGCCCAGACUCCUACGGGAGGCGGCAGUAGGGAAUCUUCCGCAAUGGGCGAAAGCCUGACGGAGCAACGCCGCGUGAGUGAAGAAGGAUUUCGGUUCGUAAAGCUCUGUUGUUAGGGAAGAAUGAUUGUGUAGUAACUAUACACAGUAGAGACGGUACCUAACCAGAAAGCCACGGCUAACUACGUGCCAGCAGCCGCGGUAAUACGUAGGUGGCAAGCGUUGUCCGGAAUUAUUGGGCGUAAAGCGCGCGCAGGUGGUUUAAUAAGUCUGAUGUGAAAGCCCACGGCUCAACCGUGGAGGGUCAUUGGAAACUGUUAAACUUGAGUGCAGGAGAGAAAAGUGGAAUUCCUAGUGUAGCGGUGAAAUGCGUAGAGAUUAGGAGGAACACCAGUGGCGAAGGCGGCUUUUUGGCCUGUAACUGACACUGAGGCGCGAAAGCGUGGGGAGCAAACAGGAUUAGAUACCCUGGUAGUCCAAGGGCGAAUUCCACAGUGGAUAUCAAGCUUAUCGAUACCGUCGACCUCGAGGGGGGGCCCGGUANCCAGCUUUNGUCNNNAGUGGGGGGGGNA
This 882-nucleotide ribosomal RNA is filed under the name uncultured bacterium. RNAcentral's name for it is "bacterial SSU rRNA". It matches the Rfam family "Bacterial small subunit ribosomal RNA". The record is from RNAcentral.